CGCACGGGUGCGUAACGCGUAUGCAACCUACCAUCAACAGGGGGAUAACACUGAGAAAUUGGUACUAAUACCCCAUAAUAUCUCAUGCGGCAUCGCAUGGGGUUGAAAACUCCGGUGGUUGAUGAUGGGCAUGCGUUGUAUCAGCUGGUUGGUGAGGUAACGGCUCACCAAGGCGACGAUACAUAGGGGGACUGAGAGGUUAACCCCCCACAUUGGUACUGAGACACGGACCAAACUCCUACGGAAGGCAGCAG
Molecule: ribosomal RNA, 254 nt
Filed under: uncultured bacterium
Lineage: Bacteria
Description: partial 16S ribosomal RNA
Rfam family: Bacterial small subunit ribosomal RNA
Source: RNAcentral